UAGGGAAUCUUCCGCAAUGGGCGAAAGCCUGCCGGAGCAACGCCGCGUGAGUGAUGAAGGUCUUCGGAUCGUAAAACUCUGUUAUUAGGGAAGAACAAAUGUGUAAGUAACUAUGCACGUCUUGACGGUACCUAAUCAGAAAGCCACGGCUAACUACGUGCCAGCAGCCGCGGUAAUACGUAGGUGGCAAGCGUUAUCCGGAAUUAUUGGGCGUAAAGCGCGCGUAGGCGGUUUUUUAAGUCUGAUGUGAAAGCCCACGGCGCAACCGUGGAGGGUCAUUGGAAACUGGAAAACUUGAGUGCAGAAGAGGAAAGUGGAAUUCCAUGUGUAGCGGUGAAAUGCGCGGAGAUAUGGAGGAACACCAGUGGCGAAGGCGACUUUCUGGUCUGUAACUGACGCUGAUGUGCGAAAGCGUGGGGAUCAAACAGG
Molecule: ribosomal RNA, 429 nt
Filed under: Actinomycetes bacterium
Lineage: Bacteria; Bacillati; Actinomycetota; Actinomycetes
Description: Actinobacteria bacterium partial 16S ribosomal RNA
Rfam family: Bacterial small subunit ribosomal RNA
Source: RNAcentral